GAUCCUGGCUCAGGAUGAACGCUGGCGGCGUGCCUAACACAUGCAAGUCGAGCGAAGCGCUUAAAUCAGAUUUCUUCGGAAUGACGAUUUUUGUGACUGAGCGGCGGACGGGUGAGUAACGCGUGGGUAACCUGCCUCAUACAGGGGGAUAACAGUUAGAAAUGACUGCUAAUACCGCAUAAGACCACAGCUUCGCAUGAAGCGGUGGUAAAAACUCCGGUGGUAUGAGAUGGACCCGCG
Molecule: ribosomal RNA, 240 nt
Filed under: uncultured bacterium
Lineage: Bacteria
Description: partial 16S ribosomal RNA
Rfam family: Bacterial small subunit ribosomal RNA
Source: RNAcentral